This 1236-nucleotide ribosomal RNA is filed under the name metagenome. RNAcentral describes it as "bacterial LSU rRNA". It matches the Rfam family "Bacterial large subunit ribosomal RNA", at positions 1564 to 2810 of the family's 2925-position model. The record is from RNAcentral.
UGAAUACGAGACGCUAAGGCGUCGAAGUAGUGUAUGUCAUACUUCCAAGAAAAGCUUGCACUGUCAUAAAUAAAGAAUGCCUGUACCAUAACCGACACAGGUGGGUAGGUAGAGUAUACUAAGGGGCGCGAGAUAACUCUCUCUAAGGAACUCGGCAAAAUAACUCCGUAACUUCGGGAGAAGGAGUGCCUUAUUCUUAAGGUUGCAAUAACAAGAUCCAAGCAACUGUUUAUCAAAAACACAGGUCUCCGCUAAGUCGCAAGACGAUGUAUGGGGGCUGACGCCUGCCCAGUGCCAGAAGGUUAAAGAAGUUGGUUAGCUUUUGCGAAGCUGAUAACUGAAGCCCUGGUGAACGACGGCCGUAACAAUAACGGUCCUAGGGUAGCGAAAUUCCUUGUCGGGUAAGUUCCGACCCGCACGAAAGGCGUAAUGAUUUGGAUACUGUCUCGGAGAGGGGCUCGGUGAAAUAGACUUGUCUGUGAAGAUGCGGACUACCUGCACCAGGACAGGAAGACCCUAUGAAGCUUUACUGUAACUUGAAAUUGAAAUUGGACUUUAUUCGCGCAGUAUAGGUGGGAGGCGUUGAUUGUAAUCUUGCGGGAUUAUUGGAGCCAUCAGUGAGAUACCACUCUUGUAAUGUUAGAUUUCUAACUUUGUAUCAUUAUCUGGUCAAAGAACAGUUUCAGGCGGGCAGUUUGACUGGGGCGGUCGCCUCCUAAACGGUAACGGAGGCGUACAAAGGUUUCCUCUGAACGGUUAGAAAUCGUAUCUAGAGUGUAAAGGCAUAAGGAAGCUUGACUGUGAGACCUACAAGUCGAGCAGGGACGAAAGUCGGUCUUAGUGAUCUGACGGUACUGAGUGGAAAGGCCGUCACUCAACGGAUAAAAGUUACUCUAGGAUAACAGGCUGAUCUCCCCCAAGAGUUCACAUCGACGGGGAGGUUUGGCACCUCGAUGUCGGCUCAUCGCAUCCUGGGGCGGUAGUACGUCCCAAAGGUUGGGCUGUUCGCCCAUGAAAGCGGUACGCGAGCUGGGUUCAGAACGUCGUGAGACAGUUCGGUCCAUAUCCGGUGUAGGCGUUAGAAUAUUGAGAGGAGCCUUCUUUAGUACGAGAGGACCGAGAAGGACAUACCUCUGGUGUACCAGUUAUCGUGCCAACGGUAAACGCUGGGUAGCUAUGUAUGGAGUGGAUAACCGCUGAAAGCAUCUAAGUGGGAAGCCCACCUCAAGAUAAGUA